GUGGUGCAAAUGGUUUGUGUUUGACUGGUAAUCAAAAGGUUGGUAGUUCAAAUCCACCCAACAACA
This 66-nucleotide transfer RNA is filed under the name Loxodonta africana (African savanna elephant). It matches the Rfam family "tRNA". From Rfam's summary of the family: Transfer RNA (tRNA) molecules are approximately 80 nucleotides in length. The record is from Rfam by way of RNAcentral. Lineage: Eukaryota; Metazoa; Chordata; Mammalia; Proboscidea; Elephantidae.